CUCAGGACGAACGCUGGCGGCGCGCCUAACACAUGCAAGUCGAACGAGAGAGAGGGAGCUUGCUUCCUCAAUCGAGUGGCGAACGGGUGAGUAACGCGUGAGGAACCUGCCUCAAAGAGGGGGACAACAGUUGGAAACGACUGCUAAUACCGCAUAAGCCCACGACCCGGCAUCGGGAAGAGGGAAAAGGAGCAAUCCGCUUUGAGAUGGCCUCGCGUCCGAUUAGCUAGUUGGUGAGGUAACGGCCCACCAAGGCGACGAUCGGUAGCCGGACUGAGAGGUUGAACGGCCACAUUGGGACUGAGACACGGCCCAGACUCCUACGGGAGGCAGCAGUGGGGAAUAUUGCACAAUGGGGGAAACCCUGAUGCAGCGACGCCGCGUGGAGGAAGAAGGUCUUCGGAUUGUAAACUCCUGUUGUUGAGGAAGAUAAUGACGGUACUCAACAAGGAAGUGACGGCUAACUAGGUGCCAGCAGCCGCGGUAAAACGUAGGUCACAAGCGUUGUCCGGAAUUACUGGGUGUAAAGGGAGCGCAGGCGGGCGAUCAAGUUGGAAGUGAAAUCCAUGGGCUCAACCCAUGAACUGCUUUCAAAACUGGUCGUCUUGAGUAGUGCAGAGGUAGGCGGAAUUCCCGGUGUAGCGGUGGAUGCGUAGAUAUCGGGAGGAACACCAGUGGCGAAGGCGGCCUACUGGGCACCAACUGACGCUGAGGCUCGAAAGUGUGGGUAGCAAACAGGAUUAGAUACCCUGGUAGUCCACACCGAAAACGAAGAUUACUAGGUGUUGGGGAUAGCCCCUCUCAGUGCCGCAGUUAACACAAUAAGUAAUCCACCUGGGGAGUACGACCGCAAGGUUGAAACUCAAAGGAAUAGACGGGGGCCCGCACAAGCAGUGGAGUAUGUGGUUAAUUUCGACGCAACGCGAAGAACCUUACCAAGUCUUGACAUCCCUUGACGAUGCUGGAAACAGUAUUUCUCUUCGGAGCAAGGAGACAGGUGGUGCAUGGUUGUCGUCAGCUCGUGUCGUGAGAUGUUGGGUUAAGUCCCGCAACGAGCGCAACCCUUAUGGUCAGUUACUACGCAAGAGGACUCUGGCCAGACUGCCGUUGACAAAACGGAGGAAGGUGGGGAUGACGUCAAAUCAUCAUGCCCUUUAUGACUUGGGCUACACAAGUACUACAAUGGCGUUAAACAAAGAGAAGCAAGACCGCGAGGUGGAGCAAAACUCAGAAACAACGUCCCAGUUCGGACUGCAGGCUGCAACUCGCCUGCACGAAGUCGGAAUUGCUAGUAAUCGUGGAUCAGCAUGCCACGGUGAAUAAAAGCCCGGGCCUUGCACU
RNAcentral lists this ribosomal RNA (1341 nucleotides) under uncultured bacterium. RNAcentral's name for it is "bacterial SSU rRNA". It matches the Rfam family "Bacterial small subunit ribosomal RNA", at positions 23 to 1387 of the family's 1533-position model. The record is from RNAcentral.